Molecule: long non-coding RNA, 751 nt
Filed under: Papio anubis (olive baboon)
Lineage: Eukaryota; Metazoa; Chordata; Mammalia; Primates; Cercopithecidae
Description: lncRNA (ENSPANG00000043373.1)
Source: RNAcentral
AUGCACUUUACAAGUACAGACUGGUUUAACCCUCACCAUAUCCCUUGGAGGCUGGAGUGCAAUGGCGCCAUCUCGGCUCACCACAACCUCUGCCUCCCAGGUUCAAGUGAUUCUCCUUCCUCAGCCUCCCAAGUAGUUGGAAUUACAGGUAGGGCAUGGAAUGAUCGAUUCGCCUCUCUUUAUUAUGGAGACUUCCUCCUUCACACACAUGGAUGCCCACUGAACCCUUCUGAGGCCACUUGUCAAGUAAAAUGAGGCACUUGAAAACAACUGAAUGAACAACCUCCUCUUUUAAAAAUUUUAAUCGAUUGGUUCAUCUUGCCGUUGCUCUUGGUGGGUGACUUUCGCACUUGAAACACUCACCUUUUCUCCAUUAUGCCCUCUUACCUGCACAGGGUGGUUUUCCACCUCCUCCUUGUGGAGUGCAAUCGAUAUUCUGUUAUUCGCUGUCAUUUGGAUGUUACUCUGUGCAAACAGUAGUUUAAAAAAAAAAAAACAUCAGGAGCUCUGCUGUCUACACAAAUCAACAACAAUGAGAAACAAGAAGUGGAUUACUACGGAACGAAAUCCUUUUUGUUCUAAACUGUAAUCAACUAUAUUGGAUGCGAGGUUUGUCCAUUUUAAAAAUUUAAUAAUGGGUUUUGGUCCUCUUGUUUCUAUAAAAAGGGCAUUUAUAAAUAUUAAUAUGGAAUACCAGGGAAAGAACAAUACAUAACAAUAAUGAGAAUCACAAAAUCCCAUCACAUUUGAC